This 838-nucleotide long non-coding RNA is filed under the name Coffea arabica (coffee). RNAcentral describes it as "long non-coding RNA (CARA_LNC004163)". Lineage: Eukaryota; Viridiplantae; Streptophyta; Magnoliopsida; Gentianales; Rubiaceae. The record is from RNAcentral.
AAAUUAAGCAUCCACUUGAAGUGCAACAUUGUUAGAGUAUUGGUACAACACAUAUAAGUGAUUCAACUCUUUUUGGAUUUUUUAGGGUAAAUUUUAUAUACAUUGAUAGUGUAUGAACUAUCCCGGUUAGAUGCAUGAUACAUAAGUAAAAUUUAGAUUUCAAAUUUAAAUUCAGAUAAGUUAUUAUGCAUUCAAUAAUGAUGGUAUAUACAUUGUUAAUGUAUAAAAAGUUAAUCUUUUUUUUUAUCAGUUGAUCAUAAAAGUAAUGGAUUAGGUAGUUAACGUUUCUCGAACCCCAAAUUAGGUUGAUGAAAGUUAUUCAAAUGUUCUUUUGAUCAAUUAACAAAUAAAAAAUGGAUUUGGCUGUUAAAGAUUCUGAAACCCCGCAUUCUUCGCCAUAUUUUGUGUGUUACUAAUAACAAAUUUAUAAGUUUGACAGUUACUGUCGACUUGAACUCUUUGUGAAGAAAUUUCCUUCUAAGCUAAGCUAGUCAGGUUUCCCUAAUAAGAAACUAAAAAAAAAGGGGAAAAAAAUCAAUUAGGGUCACGCAAAAAUGAAGAGGAAUAAAGUACAUUUUCUUUUUGCCCCCUUAAGAAUAAGGUAGUUUUCAAAAAGAGAAAAAGAAGAUUCAUGAGGUUACUUUUUAGUUGUGGCUAGCCACACCUAUGGAAUUUUUUAAUUUUCCAAUGAUGUAAUGUAAGCUUUUGAUUUGGAAGCAUUUUUUUUAACAUCUAUAACAAUUUAUAUCUCGUAGUGAAGCUGUGAAAUAUAGCAAAAUCCUGGGUUAAUUACAGUUUGCCCUUUUGACCUUGACCCUUUUAACACUUUGCCCCCCUA